Long non-coding RNA from Aethalodelphis obliquidens (Pacific white-sided dolphin), 473 nucleotides. RefSeq lists it as uncharacterized. The record is from RefSeq and is a predicted model, not a curated record. The transcript is spliced from 2 exons. NCBI's taxonomy places the organism in Eukaryota, Metazoa, Chordata, Mammalia, Artiodactyla, Delphinidae.
CCCAAGCAGCACAGCCCGGUCAGCCGACAGGGAGGGGGCAGAGAGCCUGGUCUAGCCCAGCUCUGCCCCUUCCUUGCUGUGUGACUUGCAUAAGCCUUCCUUCUCUCCUCUGCCCAAGUUGAACAAUCCUACAGCAGCUGGCAGGAGAGGAGCAACUGCUUGCUACCCGGCCCAGGGAGGCCUCGGCACCCACGGCAGGGGCGCCAAACCCCAGCAGCAGGCAGCCUGGCCUCCAGCUCCAGCUCCCAUAUCUCUGCUGUCAUGCAGGUCUUUGCAGCAGCAGACGGGGCGGAGGUGCGGGCAGAGGAAAGACCAAUUGACAAUGGCUCACCAGGGGAAAAAUAACAACUGCUACACCUCUCUGCAAUCCUGCACAGAUACACGAAACUGGCUUGAGAUACUGUGAUUCUUAAACAUCGUUCCUGCAGAACAUCGGUUUUCCAGAAGCCAAAGUAAAGAGGUUUCCCCCUCAA